UGAGGAAUUUUGCGCAAUGGGGGAAACCCUGACGCAGCGACGCCGCGUGGAGGAUGAAGGCCUUCGGGUCGUAAACUCCUGUCAGAGGUGAAGAAUGCCCGCAAGGGUUUGACGGUAACCUCAGAGGAAGCCCCGGCUAACUACGUGCCAGCAGCCGCGGUAAUACGUAGGGGGCAAACGUUACUCGGAAUUACUGGGCGUAAAGGGUGCGUAGGCGGCUGGGAAAGUCAAGGAUGAAAUCCCGUGGCUCAACUGCGGAACGGUCCUUGAAACUACUCGGCUUGAGGAUAACCGAAGAGAACGGAAUUCCCGGUGGAGCGGUGAAAUGCGUAGAUAUCGGGAGGAACACCUGAGGCGAAAGCGGUUCUCUAGACUACUCCUGACGCUGAGGCACGAAAGC
This 400-nucleotide ribosomal RNA is filed under the name uncultured bacterium. Its description in RNAcentral is "bacterial SSU rRNA". It matches the Rfam family "Bacterial small subunit ribosomal RNA", at positions 355 to 760 of the family's 1533-position model. The record is from RNAcentral.